ACGCACGCUGGCGGCAUGCCUAACCCAUGCAAGUCGAACGAGACCUUCGGGUCUAGUGGCGCACGGGUGCGUAACGCGUGGGAACCUGCCCUUAGGUUCGGAAUAACUCCCCGAAAGGGGUGCUAAUACCGGAUAAUGUCUUCGGACCAAAGAUUUAUCGCCUUUGGAUGGGCCCGCGUUGGAUUAGCUAGUUGGUAGGGUAAAAGCCUACCAAGGCGACGAUCCAUAGCUGGUCUGAGAGGAUGAUCAGCCACACUGGGACUGAGACACGGCCCAGACUCCUACGGGAGGCAGCAGUGGGGAAUAUUGGACAAUGGGCGAAAGCCUGAUCUAGCAAUGCCGCGUGAGUGAUGAAGGCCUUAGGGUUGUAAAGCUCUUUUACCCGGGAUGAUAAUGACAGUACCGGGAGAAUAAGCUCCGGCUAACUCCGUG
Molecule: ribosomal RNA, 432 nt
Filed under: uncultured bacterium
Lineage: Bacteria
Description: partial 16S ribosomal RNA
Rfam family: Bacterial small subunit ribosomal RNA
Source: RNAcentral